GCCGAAGUGGUGGAAUUGGUAGACACGCUAUCUUGAGGGGGUAGUGGCCUAAUGGUCGUGCGAGUUCAAGUCUCGCCUUCGGCACCA
Molecule: transfer RNA, 87 nt
Filed under: Pseudohongiella acticola
Lineage: Bacteria; Pseudomonadati; Pseudomonadota; Gammaproteobacteria; Pseudomonadales; Pseudohongiellaceae
Also listed under: 1 other name
Description: tRNA-Leu
Rfam family: tRNA
About the family: Transfer RNA (tRNA) molecules are approximately 80 nucleotides in length.
Source: RNAcentral